ACGAACGCUGGCGGCGUGCUUAACACAUGCAAGUCGAACGGAAAGGCCUAGCUUGCUAGGUACUCGAGUGGCGAACGGGUGAGUAACACGUGGGUGAUCUGCCUCGUACUUCGGGAUAAGCCUGGGAAACUGGGUCUAAUACUGGAUAGGACCAUGCUUUAGUGUGUGUGGUGGAAAGUUUUUUCGGUACGAGAUGAGCCCGCGGCCUAUCAGCUUGUUGGUGGGGUAAUGGCCUACCAAGGCGUCGACGGGUAGCCGGCCUGAGAGGGUGGACGGCCACAUUGGGACUGAGAUACGGCCCAGACUCCUACGGGAGGCAGCAGUGGGGAAUAUUGCACAAUGGGCGCAAGCCUGAUGCAGCGACGCCGCGUGGGGGAUGACGGCCUUCGGGUUGUAAACCUCUUUCGCUAGGGACGAAGCUUUUGUGACGGUACCUAGAUAAGAAGCACCGGCUAACUACGUGCCAGCAGCCGCGGUAAUACGUAGGGUGCGAGCGUUGUCCGGAAUUACUGGGCGUAAAGAGCUCGUAGGUGGUUUGUCGCGUCGUCUGUGAAAUUCCGGGGCUUAACUUCGGGCGUGCAGGCGAUACGGGCAUAACUUGAGUGCUGUAGGGGAGACUGGAAUUCCUGGUGUAGCGGUGGAAUGCGCAGAUAUCAGGAGGAACACCGAUGGCGAAGGCAGGUCUCUGGGCAGUAACUGACGCUGAGGAGCGAAAGCAUGGGGAGCGAACAGGAUUAGAUACCCUGGUAGUCCAUGCCGUAAACGGUGGGCGCUAGGUGUGAGGGUCUUCCACGACUUUCGUGCCGUAGCUAACGCAUUAAGCGCCCCGCCUGGGGAGUACGGCCGCAAGGCUAAAACUCAAAGGAAUUGACGGGGGCCCGCACAAGCGGCGGAGCAUGUGGAUUAAUUCGAUGCAACGCGAAGAACCUUACCUGGGCUUGACAUAUGCAGGAUCGGCGUAGUGAUACGUUUUCCCUUGUGGUCUGUAUACAGGUGGUGCAUGGUUGUCGUCAGCUCGUGUCGUGAGAUGUUGGGUUAAGUCCCGCAACGAGCGCAACCCUUGUCUUAUGUUGCCAGCACGUGAUGGUGGGGACUCAUGAGAGACUGCCGGGGUUAACUCGGAGGAAGGUGGGGAUGACGUCAAAUCAUCAUGCCCCUUAUGUCCAGGGCUUCACACAUGCUACAAUGGUCGGUACAACGCGCUGCGAGCCUGUGAGGGUGAGCGAAUCGCUGAAAGCCGGCCUCAGUUCGGAUUGGGGUCUGCAACUCGACCCCAUGAAGUCGGAGUCGCUAGUAAUCGCAGAUCAGCAACGCUGCGGUGAAUACGUUCCCGGGCCUUGUACACACCGCCCGUCACGUCAUGAAAGUUGGUAACACCCGAAGCCAGUGGCC
RNAcentral lists this ribosomal RNA (1392 nucleotides) under Corynebacterium diphtheriae. RNAcentral describes it as "bacterial SSU rRNA". It matches the Rfam family "Bacterial small subunit ribosomal RNA". Lineage: Bacteria; Bacillati; Actinomycetota; Actinomycetes; Mycobacteriales; Corynebacteriaceae. The record is from RNAcentral. RNAcentral also lists the same sequence under 1 other name.